Molecule: transfer RNA, 75 nt
Filed under: Schistocerca americana (American grasshopper)
Lineage: Eukaryota; Metazoa; Arthropoda; Insecta; Orthoptera; Acrididae
Also listed under: 2 other names
Description: tRNA-Ser
Rfam family: tRNA
About the family: Transfer RNA (tRNA) molecules are approximately 80 nucleotides in length.
Source: RNAcentral
UGCUCGGGUAGCUCAGUUGGUAGAGCACUUGCCCGUGAAAGGCAAAGGUCCCGAGUUCGAGUCUCGGUCCGGCAC